AGAUCCUUUGAUUCUGCAGUAGGUAUGACAGUGAGUACCAGGAAAGAGCCUUUGAUUCUGCAGCAGGUAUGACAGUUAGUACCAGGAGAGAGCCUUUGAUUCUGCAGUAGGUAUGACAGUACCAGGAGAGAGCCUUUGAUUCUGCAGCAGGUAUGACAGUUAGUACCAGGAGAGAGCCUUUGAUUCUGCAGCAGGUAUGACAGUUAGUACCAGGAGAGAGCCUUUGAUUCUGCAGUAGGUAUGACAGUACCAGGAGAGAGCCUUUGAUUCUGCAGUAGGUAUGACAGUACCAGGAGAGAGCCUUUGAUUCUGCAGUAGGUAUGACAGUACCAGGAGAGAGCCUUUGAUUCUGCAGCAGGUAUGACAGUUAGUACCAGGAGAGAGCCUUUGAUUCUGCAGUAGGUAUGACAGUUAGUACCAGGAGAGAGCCUUUGAUUCUGCAGUAGGUAUGACAGUACCAGGAGAGAGCCUUUGAUUCUGCAGUAGGUAUGACAGUACCAGGAGAGAGCCUUUGAUUCUGCAGCAGGUAUGACAGUUAGUACCAGGAGAGAGCCUUUGAUUCUGCAGCAGGUAUGACAGUUAGUACCAGGAGAGAGCCUUUGAUUCUGCAGUAGGUAUGACAGUUAGUACCAGGAGAGAGCCUUUGAUUCUGCAGUAGGUAUGACAGUGAGUACCAGGAGAGAGCCUUUGAUUCUGCAGUAGGUAUGACAGUUAGUACCAGGAGAGAUCCUUUGAUUCUGCAGUAGGUAUGACAGUGAGUACCAGGAGAGAGCCUUUGAUUCUGCAGUAGGUAUGACAGUGAGUACCAGGAGAGAGCCUUUGAUUCUGCAGCAGGUAUGACAGUUAGUACCAGGAGAGAUCCUUUGAUUCUGCAGCAGGUAUGACAGUUAGUACCAGGAGAGAGCCUUUGAUUCUGCAGCAGGUAUGACAGUUAGUACCAGGAGAGAGCCUUUGAUUCUGCAGUAGGUAUGACAGUGAGUACCAGGAGAGAGCCUUUGAUUCUGCAGCAGGUAUGACAGUUAGUACCAGGAGAGAUCCUUUGAUUCUGCAGCAGGUAUGACAGUUAGUACCAGGAGAGAGCCUUUGAUUCUGCAGUAGGUAUGACAGUUAGUACCAGGAGAGAGCCUUUGAUUCUGCAGCAGGUAUGACAGUUAGUACCAGGAGAGAGCCUUUGAUUCUGCAGUAGGUAUGACAGUGAGUACCAGGAGAGAGCCUUUGAUUCUGCAGCAGGUAUGACAGUUAGUACCAGGAGAGAUCCUUUGAUUCUGCAGUAGGUAUGACAGUGAGUACCAGGAAAGAGCCUUUGAUUCUGCAGCAGGUAUGACAGUUAGUACCAGGAGAGAGCCUUUGAUUCUGCAGUAGGUAUGACAGUACCAGGAGAGAGCCUUUGAUUCUGCAGCAGGUAUGACAGUUAGUACCA
Molecule: long non-coding RNA, 1420 nt
Organism: Oncorhynchus keta (chum salmon)
Lineage: Eukaryota; Metazoa; Chordata; Actinopteri; Salmoniformes; Salmonidae
Exons: 3
Source: RefSeq, a predicted model, not a curated record